UACGAAGGGUGCUAGCGUUGUUCGGAAUCACUGGGCGUAAAGCGCACGUAGGCGGAUGUGUCAGUCAGGGGUGAAAUCCCGGAGCUCAACUUCGGAACUGCCCUUGAUACAGCACGUCUUGAGUCCGGAAGAGGUGGGUGGAAUUCCUAGUGUAGAGGUGAAAUUCGUAGAUAUUAGGAAGAACACCGGUGGCGAAGGCGGCCCACUGGUCCGGUACUGACGCUGAGGUGCGAAAGCGUGGGGAGCAAACAGG
Molecule: ribosomal RNA, 253 nt
Filed under: uncultured bacterium
Lineage: Bacteria
Description: partial 16S ribosomal RNA
Rfam family: Bacterial small subunit ribosomal RNA
Source: RNAcentral